CCUACGGGAGGCAGCAGUGGGGAAUAUUGCACAAUGGGCGAAAGCCUGACGCAGCGACGCCGCGUGAGGGAUGAAGGUCUUCGGAUCGUAAACCUCUGUCAGCAGGGAAGAACGGUCACUGUGCUAAUCAGCAGUGCAUUGACGGUACCUGCAAAGGAAGCACCGGCUAACUCCGUGCCAGCAGCCGCGGUAAUACGGAGGGUGCGAGCGUUAAUCGGAAUUACUGGGCGUAAAGCGCUCGUAGGCGGUAUGUCAAGUCAAGGGUGAAAUCCCCGCGCUCAACGUGGGAACUGCUUUUGAAACUGGCAAACUGGAGUGUGGGAGAGGAUAGUGGAAUUCCAGGUGUAGGAGUGAAAUCCGUAGAUAUCUGGAGGAACAUCAGUGGCGAAGGCGACCAUCUGGCACAUAACUGACGCUGAGGAGCGAAAGCGUGGGUAGCAAACAGGAUUAGAUACCCCAGUAGUC
RNAcentral lists this ribosomal RNA (465 nucleotides) under uncultured bacterium. Its description in RNAcentral is "partial 16S ribosomal RNA". It matches the Rfam family "Bacterial small subunit ribosomal RNA", at positions 338 to 795 of the family's 1533-position model. The record is from RNAcentral.